Molecule: ribosomal RNA, 599 nt
Filed under: Bacillus sp. CH100a_3T
Lineage: Bacteria; Bacillati; Bacillota; Bacilli; Caryophanales; Bacillaceae
Description: bacterial SSU rRNA
Rfam family: Bacterial small subunit ribosomal RNA
Source: RNAcentral
CUAUACAUGCAGUCGAGCGAAAGAAGGGAGCUUGCUCCCGGAUGUUAGCGGCGGACGCGGUGAGUAACACGUGGGUAACCUGCCUGUAAGACUGGGAUAACUCCGGGAAACCGGAGCUAAUACCGGAUAGUUCCUUGAACCGCAUGGUUCAAGGAUGAAAGACGGUUUCGGCUGUCACUUACAGAUGGACCCGCGGCGCAUUAGCUAGUUGGUGGGGUAAUGGCUCACCAAGGCGACGAUGCGUAGCCGACCUGAGAGGGUGAUCGGCCACACUGGGACUGAGACACGGCCCAGACUCCUACGGGAGGCAGCAGUAGGGAAUCUUCCGCAAUGGACGAAAGUCUGACGGAGCAACGCCGCGUGAGUGAUGAAGGUUUUCGGAUCGUAAAGCUCUGUUGUUAGGGAAGAACAAGUGCGAGAGUAACUGCUCGCACCUUGACGGUACCUAACCAGAAAGCCACGGCUAACUACGUGCCAGCAGCCGCGGUAAUACGUAGGUGGCAAGCGUUGUCCGGAAUUAUUGGGCGUAAAGGGCUCGCAGGCGGUUUCUUAAGUCUGAUGUGAAAGCCCCCGGCUCAACCGGGGAGGGUCAUUGGAAA